This 72-nucleotide transfer RNA is filed under the name Tinamus guttatus (white-throated tinamou). It matches the Rfam family "tRNA". Rfam says of the family: Transfer RNA (tRNA) molecules are approximately 80 nucleotides in length. Their secondary structure includes four short double-helical elements and three loops (D, anti-codon, and T loops). Further hydrogen bonds mediate the characteristic L-shaped molecular structure. tRNAs have two regions of fundamental functional importance: the anti-codon, which is responsible for specific mRNA codon recognition, and the 3' end, to which the tRNAs corresponding amino acid is attached (by aminoacyl-tRNA synthetases). tRNAs cope with the degeneracy of the genetic code in two manners: having more than one tRNA (with a specific anti-codon) for a particular amino acid; and 'wobble' base-pairing, i.e. permitting non-standard base-pairing at the 3rd anti-codon position. Lineage: Eukaryota; Metazoa; Chordata; Aves; Tinamiformes; Tinamidae. The record is from Rfam by way of RNAcentral.
GGGGAUGUAGCUCAGUGGAAGAGUGCCUGCUUUGCAUGUAGGUGGUCCUGGGUUCAAUCCCCAGCAUCUCCA